GCCCAGGUGGCGGAAUUGGUAGACGCGCUACCUUGAGGGGGUAGUCCGCGCAAGCGGGUGGAGGUUCAAGUCCUCUCCUGGGCACCA
RNAcentral lists this transfer RNA (87 nucleotides) under Candidatus Peregrinibacteria bacterium. RNAcentral's name for it is "tRNA-Leu". It matches the Rfam family "tRNA". Rfam says of the family: Transfer RNA (tRNA) molecules are approximately 80 nucleotides in length. Their secondary structure includes four short double-helical elements and three loops (D, anti-codon, and T loops). The record is from RNAcentral. Lineage: Bacteria; Candidatus Peregrinibacteriota.